GAGUUGCCAACAAAUGAUUCUGGUUGUUGUGAAAAGACCAGAAACAUAUUCCAAGAAAUCCAAGAGCUAGAGGAUGAAAUUGCUACCGUAAAGCAAGUACUGGAUGUAGUAAAACAUCAUUAUAAAAUGAGGAUGCAAAUGCUGACAAAAAAGGACAGAUACAUAAUGUAAAGUAUUCCAGAUUUCACAGAAUUCAUUCAUAACCUAAUGCUGAGCCUCAUCCCAAGCAAGACACAGUAUUCAGUGAUCGAACAGAGGCCUGGGAGUUGUACUCAAAAAGCUCCAGUUUUGGGCCCCGAUACGAUGUGUAAAGUAUAUUCUGCAUUUCAUUUAAAAUAAAGUCAAUAAAUUUUUAAUUGCUUCUUCAA
This is a long non-coding RNA of Erinaceus europaeus (western European hedgehog), 368 nucleotides long. RefSeq lists it as uncharacterized. NCBI's taxonomy places the organism in Eukaryota, Metazoa, Chordata, Mammalia, Eulipotyphla, Erinaceidae. The record is from RefSeq and is a predicted model, not a curated record. The transcript is spliced from 3 exons.